This is a non-coding RNA of Pelobates cultripes (western spadefoot toad), 226 nucleotides long. The record is from the annotation of a GenBank genome assembly. Lineage: Eukaryota; Metazoa; Chordata; Amphibia; Anura; Pelobatidae.
GAUAAAACCAAUCUGAUAAAACCAAUUCUUCAGGCAGAAAAUUCCAUAUCCUUAUAGUUCUUACUGUAAAAAAACUUUUCUUUGCCUUAGAUGAAAUCUCUUUUCUUCCAGCCGAAAUGCGUGACCUUGUGUCCUACGUAUAGCCCUGUUUAUGAAUAGGUUUCCAGAUAAUGGUUUGUACUGGCCCCAAGUAUAUUUGUAUAAUGUUAUCAUAUCCCCUCUGAGG